RNAcentral lists this ribosomal RNA (253 nucleotides) under uncultured Eubacteriales bacterium. RNAcentral describes it as "uncultured Clostridiales bacterium partial 16S ribosomal RNA". It matches the Rfam family "Bacterial small subunit ribosomal RNA", at positions 524 to 776 of the family's 1533-position model. The record is from RNAcentral. Lineage: Bacteria; Bacillati; Bacillota; Clostridia; Eubacteriales.
UACGUAUGGUGCAAGCGUUAUCCGGAUUUACUGGGUGUAAAGGGAGCGUAGACGGUUACGCAAGUCUGGAGUGAAAGGCGGGGGCCCAACCCCCGGACUGCUUUGGAAACUGUAUAACUGGAGUGCAGGAGAGGUAAGUGGAAUUCCUAGUGUAGCGGUGAAAUGCGUAGAUAUUAGGAGGAACACCAGUGGCGAAGGCGGCCUGCUGGGCUUUUACUGACGCUGAGGCUCGAAAGUGUGGGGAGCAAACAGG